This 25-nucleotide non-coding RNA is filed under the name Drosophila erecta. The record is from RNAcentral. RNAcentral also lists the same sequence under 1 other name. Lineage: Eukaryota; Metazoa; Arthropoda; Insecta; Diptera; Drosophilidae.
UCUAACAGUUGAUGGGUCUUUAGGA